This 466-nucleotide ribosomal RNA is filed under the name uncultured bacterium. RNAcentral describes it as "partial 16S ribosomal RNA". It matches the Rfam family "Bacterial small subunit ribosomal RNA", at positions 28 to 507 of the family's 1533-position model. The record is from RNAcentral.
GAUGAACGCUGGCGGCGUGCUUAACACAUGCAAGUCGAACGGAAAGGCUCCUGCUUGCAGGGGUACUCGAGUGACGAACGGGUGAGUAACACGUGGGUGAUCUGCCCUGCACUUCGGGAUAAGCCUGGGAAACUGGGUCUAAUACCGGAUAGGACGAUGGUUUGGAUGCCAUUGUGGAAAGUUUUUUCGGUGUGGGAUGAGCUCGCGGCCUAUCAGCUUGUUGGUGGGGUAAUGGCCUACCAAGGCGUCGACGGGUAGCCGGCCUGAGAGGGUGUACGGCCACAUUGGGACUGAGAUACGGCCCAGACUCCUACAGGAGGCAGCAGUGGGGAAUAUUGCACAAUGGGCGCAAGCCUGAUGCAGCGACGCCGCGUGGGGGAUGACGGCCUUCGGGUUGUAAACUCCUUUCGCUAGGGACGAAGCGCAAGUGACGGUACCUGGAGAAGAAGCACCGGCUAACUACGUG